CUCAAUGAGCUGUAUCGGCUACAAUGUGAGUGAACUUUGCAAUGGAUAAGCAAAGAUUUAAGGCAAAAUUAAAUAACGAAGAUAACUGAUAACUUGCUAUUGAAUUCUUUUUUCUUUCCCUAUGCCGAUGCCCCCUUUCUCGAGGCAGGAGAAUGGAUUUUAUAAUUGGGGGGAGAGCACCGCCACUCCGAAGUUUGGACUAGCACGCUAGGAAAUUAGGUAGUGGCCAGCGAAAUCCUCGAUAAUUGUAACUGCAUCAGGGUAACGUCGAUAUCCACGAUUUCCUGGCACAGUUAACCAAUUUUCGAGUGCGUACAUUUAUUCUUUGAAUACCCUUUCUUCUAAUAGUCAGAGGUUCCAAAGUAAGGGUCGUCAAACUCGAUAACAGAUUCCAUUCUCCAUAUGUAUUCCUAGGUCUCUCUUGCCACGUGAAAAUGAUAAAUUUUAUCAAUACAGAUAGCCCCCACUUGUUGGGCAAUUUGACGUCGAAUGCUCGAUAAGUGGUAGCCUUUUGGUGGAAGUCAGCCUUAGUUAGUAUCCUUCUCUAGUAUGAAAAGAAUUUUAAUAAGACUUUGUCAUUAAGAUUGACGUGGCCCAUAUUUAAUAUGUUAGAACAUGUGGCUUCCUCUCAUCAACUCCUUCAUCUAUUACAAUCCCCAAGUAAUGAUGGUCAGUUAUGAUAGGAAUCCUUCCCAACUUUGGCGGUUAUGAAAGGGAAUAUUUUUUGCCUAUAUAUACCCAGUUGUUGGCCUCCUUAUUAACUUUAAAUUCCUCAACUAACCUUCUCAUUUGUUUCUCUUCUUGAGUCAUUAACUUACGCCUAACCCUUCUCUUCUGAUCUCCUCUUUUAUUAACCUCAUGGACUCUCAAAGUUUUGACCCUUCUUCAGCAGCUGACUAACCUUCAACGCAUAUAAUUAUAGGCACUCUUCAUCUGUAACAGAACCCUCUUACUUCUGUUCUUCUAUUUCUCUGAGGGCUUUGUCUACUACCACUUUUAAGAAGAAAGCUUCCAAACCUCACAAAGGUAGGAAGGGGAAGCAAAGCUCUAAGCCCUUGGUCCCAGAGGUUCUCCCGAAAAACUUGAAUUAUGAGGGGGAUCGUUGAGGCUUAGAACAAGGUGCAGGAUAAUUUGGGAGUUCUCACGUCGGCAAUAUAGACUCCCUUGUUCAUGAAGAACAUAUUACCAUAAUCUUUCGUGAUUGUUGUUGGAGCGACUAUGUCACCAUUCACGUUCCUCAGGCGAACGAAAGAAUUUUCAGCCACAUGUCUGGCUUCUUUUUUUGUCUACACUUACCCUUUUACCUUUGGAUUUGUACCUCCGAUAGACCCCUUGAUUUGACUUUUAUCUUUAUUUUGGUGUGUGUUUGGGCCAAAUUGGGCCGACCAUAUGGAGGUUUGUGGCGUGCUUCUAGUUCCUGAUGAUUGUUGCUGACGUCCAAUUUUCUCUUUCGCACCUUUUUCAUUUGUUUUCUCCCAAUCCGUUAAGGGGAGAGGGGAUUAUUUCGAUGGUUAGUCGGGGUACCCGGACUCUCAUGGAUUCAGAGGAUGACCACGAUAAGGGUUGGCUCGACCGAUUUAUCGCAUUCCCCACUCAGGAGUUGAUUCUGCUCGAGUAAGAGCCUAUUCCGAAGUGGAAUAACAAACCCAUGUUGGUAGCUCCGGAGAGCAUUCUGGAUAUCAAGGAGUGGGUUGGAAAGUGCUUGGCAAGCUCUUCGAAAACAGAGAGAUCUUGGAGGUAUUCCUCCGAGGAAGGCAGUCCCACAAGUGUUACUAGGCUCCCAACUUCUGUUGACUCUUCCACGGAAAGCGUCAGGCAAUUGUCUACUUUGAAAAGAAGAGCAAACUUGCUAGUUUCCACUCUGGUGGUCCUUCCACCAAAAAGAAUGAGGACAAAUUUUUAUAAGAUCUGACGGUGUCCAAGGAUUUUCUCAAGCUUCCCCUCAAACUGAUAUUCCCCGAGACACCACCCCUAUUGUGUUAGAGAAUAAGGGCUCGGAAUCCCCUGGUUCAAAGCCAGCGAUAGGAGUCGUAAAGGAUCAGGGUUCGGAGUCCCCAGGAUCGGAACCAGUGAGAAGAGAAAUCCCCGACUUGGAUCGGAAAAAAAAGGUUGUUGUAGGCGAUCCUGUUGAAAGAUCUGUUCGCCCACACCCACUGCUUCCUUCUACUCCCCCUGCUAGUUCUUCAAUGAGAUCUAGAAUUCAUCCGGUCUUAAUCAAUGUACCAAUGGAGUUUAAUCCUCCGAACAACUCGGGAGAGAGAAUGUCAUGGCUAAAAGGAUUGAUACGCCCCUUCGAGAGGGAGGAGUUAUCUGCCAAAUCUGAAACCACACUGGCAAAUGAUGUACUUCAUUUCACCCUUCGAGUAAUGUUUUCGAUCUUUUAUCUUUUUGCCCUCUUUGUUUAACUUGUAUGUAAGGUCAAAUUGUUUAUGCGUAGGCAAACUUGAUCUUGAUCUGGAUCGAAGAAAGGUUCUCGUUUAACGAAAGAACCAUAGAAGAGUUGAAGCAGAAAGUCAAGGACUGGGAAACUCGUUGUCCCAAUAUGCUUUUGGAAAAAGAGGCUUACUAACUAUUGGCAUGUUUGGCCAAGGAUGAGUUGAAGGAGUUGAAUAAGGGGAUCGAGAAAUCGGCACCAUGAACAGCAGUAAGGUCGAGCACCUGGAGGCAUCUAGUUUAGAAGGAAGCAGAUGUAAACCAAUUGGUCGUUGCUUUAUCUUAUGAUUUAGUUCAGGCCAAAUUAUGUGCAUCAUACCUUGAGCAAACUCUUGGAUUGGAAGGAUUCAAUCAACGCUUAACAAGCCGAAAUGGUGAGGUUACAAGGGGGGAGAGAUCACAUGGCCCAAUAACUUGAUAGGUUAAAGCUGCAGUCAAAGCUGGGGCAUAAUUUUAUUUUCCUUGAGUCCAAGUUAUCUACUUUGGAGGGCGUUUGUAUAGGGAUCUCCGACUUAGCAAAAUAAGUAUAGGAGACAUGACAGGCCAUGGAGGAAGCUAAACUCAUUUUUAAUAUGGCUACAUUCGAAGGUGGAUUCUCGGGGAAUGAAGAACUUACUAACUCCUCGGAGGAAGGAAACGAUGAAGAACCCCCCGCUCGUGCCCUGGACCUUAGACCCCUUGCAGUGGUUCGUCAACUUCCUGCCCUCCUUCAGACAAGCCCUCAUCUCGAGAUUCGCAGUCCCCGAGCGGGGGUCAUUAAGGGUGUAUUUCUAGUGUCUAGGAGUUUUAAGUAUGUUCGUUGUUUUGCUAGCAUUUUCAUGUUUGCUUCCUUUAUUUUCUUGUGUUUGUUUUGUUUGAGGUCAUACCUCGGUUUGUAAUGAACCUCGUUAAGUAUAUGAAAAGAACUUUGCCUUCCUUA
Non-coding RNA from Nicotiana tabacum (common tobacco), 3352 nucleotides. NCBI's taxonomy places the organism in Eukaryota, Viridiplantae, Streptophyta, Magnoliopsida, Solanales, Solanaceae. The record is from RefSeq and is a predicted model, not a curated record.